AAGUCGUAACAAGGUUUCCGUAGGUGAACCUGCGGAAGGAUCAUCAAUAGUCUCAAAUUGUCUUGUCCGGGAUUCCCUAAUAGGGUAUUAACCGGCUUGACAAAAUACCUUCUUGUGCACUGUCUGUUGGUUAUGGCUGACUGGGGGGAUUGUUGGGGUAUGCUUCGGUAUGCUUUGCGCCCCCAGCCAGUCGUUUGUUUUAUACAAACUCUGUUAACAUUAUUGUCUCAGGAUCUAGUUGAGAGAAUAUUAAAAAUAUUUAUACAACUUACAGCGAUGGAUCUCUAGGCUCUGGU
Molecule: unclassified non-coding RNA, 296 nt
Filed under: fungal sp.
Lineage: Eukaryota; Fungi
Description: partial internal transcribed spacer region
Rfam family: Eukaryotic small subunit ribosomal RNA (bases 1-46)
Source: RNAcentral